Molecule: ribosomal RNA, 415 nt
Filed under: uncultured bacterium
Lineage: Bacteria
Description: bacterial SSU rRNA
Rfam family: Bacterial small subunit ribosomal RNA
Source: RNAcentral
GGGCCCGCACAAGCGGUGGAGUAUGUGGUUUAAUUCGAUGCAACGCGAAGAACCUUACCAGGGUUUGACAUCCUGCGAAUCUCUUGGAAACGAGAGAGUGCCUUCGGGAACGCAGUGACAGGUGGUGCAUGGCUGUCGUCAGCUCGUGUCGUGAGAUGUUGGGUUAAGUCCCGCAACGAGCGCAACCCACGUCUUUAGUUGCCAGCAUUUAGUUGGGCACUCUAGAGAGACUGCCGGUGAUAAACCGGAGGAAGGUGUGGAUGACGUCAAGUCAUCAUGCCCCUUACAUCCUGGGCUACACACGUACUACAAUGCUACGGACAAAGGGCAGCAAACUCGCGAGAGCUAGCAAAUCCCAUAAACCGUGGCUCAGUUCAGAUCGUAGGCUGCAACUCGCCUACGUGAAGGAGGAAUC